UGGGGUCGGGCGACCCGGCUGGCGGAUGGCGUCCCUCCUCUCUACCCUCCCCCUCCCGCUGGCGACGACUCUCCCCGCGGCUGGUCACCCGCAAGCGCGGGUGACGGUCCUGGGCGCGAUCUUCCCGGAGCCACCUUCGUCUGGCGUCUCUCUCCCUCCUGCCCCAUCUGUGCGCAUCCCGGCCCCCAGCCCCACGGGCGCCCUUGUUGCUCGAGCUUUCCCUCUCGGGGCUGCGCGCGCUCCUGUCCUUCUUGGGGCUUCAGGCCGCCGUGCCGUCGCGCGCCCGCGGCCCCGGCCUCUCCCUGGAUCGCGCUCUCUCCUCUCCCUCCCUCGCGCGCCCCCUCUCCCGUUACUCUGCCCCCCCCCCACCGACGCGCGUGCGCACUCCAUCACCCGUCGGGAGAGUGCGCCACAAGGGCUCCUGCGCUCUCACCCCCAUCUCCUGUCUUUGCCUCCCCCUCCUUCUCUUCCAUUCCAUGGCUUUGUGCCCCCACUGCGAGCAAGUCGGUUCUCCAGCUCCUUUCCCCGUCUAUCAAGAACAAGUAGGCUCCAUAAAAAUACAGACUCACCAGUUCCUGCUUUGAUGUGACAUGUGACUCCCCAGAAUACAGCUUGCUUCUGUAGACCAGCUCCAACAGGAUUCCAUGGUAGCUGGGAUGUUAGGGCUCAGGUAAGUAACCUUCCUUUUUUUUUUUUUAGUAUAUGUCCUGGUUUGGCCAUCUGUUUUUAAAAAAAAAAAAAAAGGAAAAAAAAAGAUACACUACUCUUGGACAGUAUAAAACUACCCCAAAGACUAAAGAGAUAACUGUGCCAAACUGUGCCAUAUAAUAAAAAAAAGUCACUUCCCUGAGCCCUGAAAGGUCAGUUUGGGUAGAGUUACUUGGUAGCUACAGCGUGAUCUGGGGGCGGGUGUCAGAUGAGAGCCGGAACUGGUGAUCUGCAACUUCAGUUCACCUAGAAGCAGGCAAACACCUGUCCUGAGCUCUUCACCUGCAUUAGCUGCUGCUGUUGCCUAGUGGUAUUCAGCCUCAUGCUUUGCUUUGGUUUUGAGUCAGUCACUUACUGUUCAGUAUUAGUGAGCAGUAUAAAGCAUUUUUAGAUAUGGAGACUGGUGUGUGCUCCCUUCAAAGGGCACCCUUCCAAUAGUGUCACAGAACAGCAAAGCCCAUGGCUAAUAGCUUGUCCCAUGGAAACAAAAGAAAGCAUCCAGACCCUCAUCUGUCUCUUGCACUCUAGAGCAAGAUGAGUGCUUUUUGAAAAGUAGAGCGCCAAAUCAUUCUAGGUCUGAUACUACACUUUAGAUUACUUUGGUGCCACUGUGUGGACUUUAGUUUUGUAGAAAUGACUUAUUCCUUUUCAACUUUUGUCAGGAUCAUCCUCUCUGGCUGAUUUCUUUUUCAAUCAGUAGUCACUCCGCAUUUGAUACUUUGACACUUGUAUUUCAAAGAUCCUGUGUAGUAAAGCAGAAUCCCAUUGAAUUUUCCUACUUCUUCUCCUAC
Long non-coding RNA from Perognathus longimembris pacificus (Pacific pocket mouse), 1499 nucleotides. RefSeq lists it as uncharacterized. The transcript has 2 exons. NCBI's taxonomy places the organism in Eukaryota, Metazoa, Chordata, Mammalia, Rodentia, Heteromyidae. The record is from RefSeq and is a predicted model, not a curated record.